This 461-nucleotide ribosomal RNA is filed under the name uncultured bacterium. Its description in RNAcentral is "partial 16S ribosomal RNA". It matches the Rfam family "Bacterial small subunit ribosomal RNA", at positions 338 to 795 of the family's 1533-position model. The record is from RNAcentral.
CCUACGGGAGGCAGCAGUGAGGAAUAUUGGUCAAUGGGCGCGAGCCUGAACCAGCCAAGUCGCGUGAGGGAUGACGGUCCUACGGAUUGUAAACCUCUUUUGCCGGGGAGCAAGCGUGCGUUCGUGAACGCGCGUCGAGAGUACCCGGAGAAAACGCAUCGGCUAACUCCGUGCCAGCAGCCGCGGUAAUACGGAGGAUGCGAGCGUUAAUCGGAAUUACUGGGCGUAAAGGGUGUGCGGGCGGCUGAGUACGACAGAUGUGAAAUCCCCGGGCUUAACCUGGGAACCGCAUAUGUGACUGCUUGGCGAGAGUGCGGCAGAGGGAGGUGGAAUUCCACGUGUAGCAGUGAAAUGCGUAGAUAUGGGGAAGAACACCGAUGGCGAAGGCAGCCUCCUGGGACGCAACUGACGCUCAUACACGAAAGCGUGGGGAGCAAACAGGAUUAGAUACCCGUGUAGUC